GAUGAACGCUGGCGGCGUGCCUAAUACAUGCAAGUCGAGCGAACGGACGAGAAGCUUGCUUCUCUGAUGUUAGCGGCGGACGGGUGAGUAACACGUGGAUAACCUACCUAUAAGACUGGGAUAACUUCGGGAAACCGGAGCUAAUACCGGAUAAUAUUUUGAACCGCAUGGUUCAAAAGUGAAAGACGGUCUUGCCGUCACUUAUAGAUGGAUCCGCGCUGCAUUAGCUAGUUGGUAAGGUAACGGCUUACCAAGGCAACGAUGCAUAGCCGACCUGAGAGGGUGAUCGGCCACACUGGAACUGAGACACGGUCCAGACUCCUACGGGAGGCAGCAGUAGGGAAUCUUCCGCAAUGGGCGAAAGCCUGACGGAGCAACGCCGCGUGAGUGAUGAAGGUCUUCGGAUCGUAAAACUUUGUUAUUAGGGAAGAACAUAUGUGUAAGUAACUGUGCACAUCUUGACGGUACCUAAUCAGAAAGCCACGGCUAACUACGUG
Molecule: ribosomal RNA, 497 nt
Filed under: uncultured bacterium
Lineage: Bacteria
Description: partial 16S ribosomal RNA
Rfam family: Bacterial small subunit ribosomal RNA
Source: RNAcentral